CGAUCCACACCCAGGGAGACGACACAGCUGGGUCCCUACCCACACGGGGCAGAACUGCACAACGAGGAAGCCCCCCUGGGGGCGGCCUGGCAUGGAGGAGGGAGCCUCCACAGGAAGGCGGGACCGGCGGGACCAACAGGAUGUGCAGGGGCCCCUCCCUCGAAGCUUCGCCCUCAAGUAGGACCCAAAGCUCCCUCAAACGACCCCUGAACAGGCCGACCUUGAAGGACCCCACAAGAACCCAGGUUGCUGGCAGAGGCUCAGAGGUGGCCAUGGCAGGCCAGCGGCGGCCGUC
RNAcentral lists this long non-coding RNA (295 nucleotides) under Homo sapiens (human). RNAcentral's name for it is "HSALNT0157122". The record is from RNAcentral. Lineage: Eukaryota; Metazoa; Chordata; Mammalia; Primates; Hominidae.